This 229-nucleotide long non-coding RNA is filed under the name Linum usitatissimum (flax). Its description in RNAcentral is "long non-coding RNA (LUSI_LNC000339)". The record is from RNAcentral. Lineage: Eukaryota; Viridiplantae; Streptophyta; Magnoliopsida; Malpighiales; Linaceae.
GAUUUCUAAUGUGCUACCAAUAAUUCGUUCCUAGACUACAAUCCAUAAUGUUUAGGGCACGAAAUUGUGCCGAUUAAUCCGUCCAAUCUAUAACUUUUCAAUGGUGUACGAACUAUAAUCUAGAGGAGUGCUUAGAAUUUAACAUGCUUAUCAUUUAAUCAAAUAUUGGUCAACAAAUACAAAUACAACCAACUAAAAUGGUUCCAAAACCAUAAUGUAACUUUUGAAA